Molecule: ribosomal RNA, 422 nt
Filed under: uncultured bacterium
Lineage: Bacteria
Description: bacterial SSU rRNA
Rfam family: Bacterial small subunit ribosomal RNA
Source: RNAcentral
UGGGGAAUAUUGCACAAUGGGGGAAACCCUGAUGCAGCGACGCCGCGUGAGUGAAGAAGUAUUUCGGUAUGUAAAGCUCUAUCAGCAGGGAAGAUAAUGACGGUACCUGACUAAGAAGCCCCGGCUAACUACGUGCCAGCAGCCGCGGUAAUACGUAGGGGGCAAGCGUUAUCCGGAUUUACUGGGUGUAAAGGGUGCGUAGGUGGCAAGGCAAGUCAGAUGUGAAAGCCCGGGGCUCAACCCCGGUAUUGCAUUUGAAACUGUUUAGCUAGAGUGCAGGAGAGGUAAGUGGAAUUCCUAGUGUAGCGGUGAAAUGCGUAGAUAUUAGGAGGAACACCGGUGGCGAAGGCGGCUUACUGGACUGUAACUGACACUGAGGCACGAAAGCGUGGGGAGCAAACAGGAUUAGAUACCCUGGUAGU